Molecule: ribosomal RNA, 421 nt
Filed under: uncultured bacterium
Lineage: Bacteria
Description: bacterial SSU rRNA
Rfam family: Bacterial small subunit ribosomal RNA
Source: RNAcentral
UAGGGAAUAUUGGUCAAUGGGUGAUAGCCUGAACCAGCCAUGCCGCGUGCAGGAAGACGGCCUUAUGGGUUGUAAACUGCUUUUUACCGGGAAGAAAGAGGUCCUGCGGGGCAAGUUGCCUGUACCGGUAGAAUAAGCACCGGCUAACUCCGUGCCAGCAGCCGCGGUAAUACGGAGGGUGCAAGCGUUGUCCGGAUUUAUUGGGUUUAAAGGGUACGUAGGCGGGCAUGUAAGUCAGUGGUUAAAAUUACCGGCUCAACCGGUAGGCUGCCAUUGAAACUGCGUGUCUUGAGUACGGUAGAGGUAGGCGGAAUUUAUGGUGUAGCGGUGAAAUGCAUAGAUACCAUAAAGAACACCGAUAGGUAAGCCAGCUUACUGGACCGUAACUGACGCUGAGGUACGAAAGCAUGGGGAGCAAACA